RNAcentral lists this unclassified non-coding RNA (260 nucleotides) under Ascomycota sp. RNAcentral describes it as "partial contains small subunit ribosomal RNA, internal transcribed spacer 1, and 5.8S ribosomal RNA". The stretch from base 1 to 47 matches the Rfam family "Eukaryotic small subunit ribosomal RNA", at positions 1785 to 1831 of the family's 1831-position model. The record is from RNAcentral. Lineage: Eukaryota; Fungi; Ascomycota.
AAAGUCGUAACAAGGUUUCCGUAGGUGAACCUGCGGAAGGAUCAUUAUCGUGGGGCUUCGGCCCCGUCGAGAUAGCACCCUUGCCUUUAUGAGUACCUUGGUUCCCUCCCCCGUACCUCCGGGGAGCGGGAGGGACCUCGUCUGUUUCCCUGUGGCGGUGAAAGCCCCAUGGGGACCACGAAACACGCUGUAACCACCUGUAACUGUCUGAUAAACAAACAAAAAAAUCAAAACUUUCAACAACGGAUCUCUUGGUUCUG